Long non-coding RNA from Homo sapiens (human), 949 nucleotides. RefSeq annotates it as TRABD antisense RNA 1. The transcript has 2 exons. NCBI's taxonomy places the organism in Eukaryota, Metazoa, Chordata, Mammalia, Primates, Hominidae. The record is from RefSeq and is marked validated.
GAGACCGCCAGCGACGACCCCGCUCGGGCAGCCCCGGAUUUCCUCGGCUGCACCGGCGCCGGCAGCGGGGACCGAGGCCCGCGUCCGUUCGGGUCGGGCCGGGGCUUAGCCCCGCGCCCCACGGGCGGCCGGGACCCCACCCGGACCCCGCCGCGGUUCUGGGCCGCCGGAGCCUCGCGCCGCCUCUCGGGGACCUUGUCCCCUGGCCUCCGGCCUCUCGGGCCCCUCGCCUGCCGUCUAGGAGGGAAGGGGCCUUGGAUCUGUGCCCCGCCCAUGGAACAGCGCCCGGGCUCGGAGAGGCCCCGCGAGGCCGCAGGCGCAGACCCUCCCGGAGGGCUGGGCGGGCACCGGGGUCUUCGGCUGGCUUGAGGGACCCGACCCCUGGGGGAGGAAUUUGGGGUCUGUGUGUCCGAAUGAACGCGGGGGUUCAGAUGAGUCUGUGGUGCCCCCGCUUUCCAUCUCCUCCGGCCCCGGCCCCAGAGGACUGUCUGAGAGGCCGGUGGCCGCGGAUCCUGGACGCGCCUCCCUCCUGCCUGUGGUUUCCCUUUAUUCCGGCAGCGGCGCGAGCCCACCCUUCACAUACAGGAGCUACAUCCAGAAGCUUCUCCUGGGGCCACAGCGUGGGCUUCCGAGACUCUGCGUGACCCCAGCUCUGCCCCUUUGGGGCUGCGGGUGAAGCCCUCAGGACCCUCCGCGUGCGUUGGGCAGGUGCACACAUUGUCUGCCCAGAGAGGGCCAAGAUGCCCCAGGCACCCCUUCGCUCCGGGGGCUCAGGACACAGGCUCCCAGCUGAGGCCACGCCUGGACCCAGAGCUGAUGUUUGGCUGCACGCGAGCCCACUCGGGACAGACCCAAGAACACGAAUUCUCUCCCUUUGGAUUUAAGGCUGGUGUUUUUUGACAUUUACUUCAGUUUUUCUCUCUGAAAUUAAAAUUACCUGAGUAAAAGA